GAUUUCUGGCUUGAAACAUUUUGCCGGCCGCGGUUUCGCGUGUUAGUGCUUGAUGUUCUGGCCAUCCUUCCAAUCGCUGUGUACCUUUCUUCAUUGAUUGGUGCAUGGUAUUGGAUCUUUUACUUUGAAAAAAUUAGAGUGUUUCAAGCAGGCUUUAUGCUAUGAAUACAUUAGCAUGGAAUAAUAAUUUAGGACUUCGGUUCUAUUUUGUUGGUUUCUAGGACUGAAGUAAUGAUUGAUAGGGAUAGUUGGGGGUGCUCUAGGGAUAGUCCCGCAGGACGAGAUAGUCCCGUUGGACGAGAUAGUCCCGUUGGACGAGAUAGUCCCGUUGGACGAGAUAGUCCCGCUGGACGAGAUAGUCCCGCUGGAGUAUUCAGCGGCCAGAGGUGAAAUUCUCGGAUUCGCUGAAGACUAACUUAUGCGAAAGCAUU
RNAcentral lists this ribosomal RNA (431 nucleotides) under uncultured Cercozoa. RNAcentral's name for it is "bacterial SSU rRNA". The stretch from base 107 to 431 matches the Rfam family "Eukaryotic small subunit ribosomal RNA", at positions 739 to 955 of the family's 1831-position model. The record is from RNAcentral. Lineage: Eukaryota; Cercozoa.